RNAcentral lists this ribosomal RNA (253 nucleotides) under uncultured bacterium. Its description in RNAcentral is "partial 16S ribosomal RNA". It matches the Rfam family "Bacterial small subunit ribosomal RNA", at positions 524 to 776 of the family's 1533-position model. The record is from RNAcentral.
UACGCAGGUGGCGAGCGUUGCCCGGAAUCACUGGGCGUAAAGGGCGUGUAGGCGGCUUGGGGCGUCCCAUGUGAAAGGCCACGGCUCAACCGUGGAGGAGCGUGGGAUACGCUCAGGCUAGACGGUGGGAGAGGGUGGUGGAAUUCCCGGAGUAGCGGUGAAAUGCGCAGAUACCGGGAGGAACGCCGAUGGCGAAGGCAGCCACCUGGCUCACUUGUGACGCUGAGGCGCGAAAGCGUGGGGAGCAAACCGG